This 1537-nucleotide long non-coding RNA is filed under the name Macaca mulatta (Rhesus monkey). RNAcentral's name for it is "lncRNA (ENSMMUG00000059425.1)". The record is from RNAcentral. Lineage: Eukaryota; Metazoa; Chordata; Mammalia; Primates; Cercopithecidae.
CCACUCAUUCACCCACUCCCCUCAGACCUCAGCUGGGACUGGAACCUAACAGUACUCUGUGUAAACUUUUAUUUUUUCAAAGAAAUUUUGACCUCAUCUCUAUCUGCUGUACAACAAAUAUACUAUAGCAACAAACAAACAAACAAAUAAACAAACUUUCUCUGGGAAAUCUGUUAUUCUUACUGUGUGAAAUCCUGUGUACUCAGCACAAUUAAGAGGUAUUAAGAAAAAAACAUUUGAUCAAAGUUUGAAUAGCAUCCUUCCUUCUCUAAAACUGAAAAUGAGAAUCCUGCUGAUUCCUAGAGGGUUAUUUUCUUCAAUAACAAGAGCUGGCUGAGGCCAUUUCUUGCCAGUGGAAUCUGUACAUAGUGGCUCAUGUCUGACUGACCUCAGGUCUUUAUUCACAUUAUCCUGGGUGAAUGUGACGGAUGAGAGAGCCCGCGUGGUUUGGCCCACCAAUAUUGUUUCUGAUGAAGGUUAACAGCAUUGGCCGCUCUAAAUCUUACACAGCAAAUUGCUGACAUCUGGUGUUUCCUCUCAAGUUUAACAGAUAUUCUACUGUAAUUCCAGUGUUUACACAAUAUAAAAACACAGACGUUGAGCUUAUGAAAGCAUUUUGUAUCCAUAACACUACUCUAGAGAACUGUUUAACAUUUCUGAAUGAUUGCAUUAAAUAAGUCUAAGUAAACUAGUAGUUAUAAAGCUAUUGGUUGCUUUAGAAAUAGUGGUCACUGAUAAGCUCAAAAUUGUUUCUUAUUAAUAGCAGCAAAAAUUUGCUUCUAAUUCUCUUAGGGGAAGGUUGUUCCUUUGUUUGACACAGAUUCACCUUAGAAAUUUACAGUAACCUUUACUGGCUCUUUUUUUUUUUUUUUUUUUGCAUUCAAUGCACCAUUGUAGUUCUGUCCUCAUAUCAUCUGGGUAUCUGUUCCUGCCACUGUCACCUGGAACCUAGGACAAGAGAAACAAAAAAGAAAGCCAAAAGAAACUGCAAGUUAAGCUCAAACUGAAUUGAAAUAGAGAUACACAGCUUUAUGGAUCUAACCACGCAGAAAUGUAUUACAUAAUCAACGCUCACAGUAUGUAUUAACACUAAAGAUAAAGCAAAAUGCAUUUGUUUUAUUUUUAAAAAUUUUUACUUAAACGUUCUAUUUUGUGUUAUUGCCAUCACAAUGAAUAUUAUUUCAUUCAAUCUAGUUGCACACAUCAAUGUCAUGGUUCAACUUCUGAAAACAUUAUUAUAAGAAAACAAAAUAACUUUUACAAUUAAAUAAAGUACAUUCUCACUCUUCAUUUAAUUACUGAAGCUAGAAAAAUCUAAAAAACCUUCCAGCUGCAAAUAGUAUGAAUUAUGUGGCUAAAAAUAUCUUGUGUUCUUUUUUCUGAAUUAUUGUACAAUAUAAAUUUUGAUUCUUAAAUAUGACUUCAGAGAAAUAGAGUUUUUUCUGCACAUGAGGUAAUUAUUUAUAAGAGAAAUAGCAAGUAUAAGAUAUGAUUGGUAAAUCUUUCAUGCCUCUGGGUUUAUUUACAAAUUAAUUCU